GACGAACGCUGGCGGCGUGCUUAACACAUGCAAGUCGAACGGAAAGGCCCUGCUUUUGUGGGGUGCUCGAGUGGCGAACGGGUGAGUAACACGUGAGUAACCUGCCCUUGACUUUGGGAUAACUUCAGGAAACUGGGGCUAAUACCGGAUAGGAGCUCCUGCUGCAUGGUGGGGGUUGGAAAGUUUCGGCGGUUUGGGAUGGACUCGCGGCUUAUCAGCUUGUUGGUGGGGUAGUGGCUUACCAAGGCUUUGACGGGUAGCCGGCCUGAGAGGGUGACCGGCCACAUUGGGACUGAGAUACGGCCCAGACUCCUACGGGAGGCAGCAGUGGGGAAUAUUGCACAAUGGGCGGAAGCCUGAUGCAGCAACGCCGCGUGCGGGAUGACGGCCUUCGGGUUGUAAACCGCUUUCGCCUGCGACGAAGCGUGAGUGACGGUAAUGGGUAAAGAAGCACCGGCUAACUACGUG
RNAcentral lists this ribosomal RNA (468 nucleotides) under uncultured bacterium. RNAcentral describes it as "partial 16S ribosomal RNA". It matches the Rfam family "Bacterial small subunit ribosomal RNA", at positions 28 to 507 of the family's 1533-position model. The record is from RNAcentral.